AAAUGUGAGGGUGACCUGGCUGUAACAUGUCACCCCAUUGAUUGCCGGGGUUGAUUUGGACAAACUGGCUAGGUGGGUGUCCACAUCCUCCUCAACGCUCCAUGUGUGUCCCUCCCCAAAGCUGCUCACUCGAAGAGAAUGACCAUCCCCAAUAGAAAAGGAAUGUUCCUCGGUCAAGGGUAGAUAAGUAGCUGUGCUCCCCUUCUAGAACUGCCAUAACCUGUCCCAAACAAGCUCUCAAAGAAAAUGCGCCCAUUGCAUUGUUGAGUGCAUAGAAAAUGCCGAAUAAAUACUGUUUGAGUGAAUGAAUUCAGCCACA
RNAcentral lists this small nuclear RNA (319 nucleotides) under Octodon degus (degu). RNAcentral describes it as "7SK RNA (ENSODEG00000023300.1)". It matches the Rfam family "7SK RNA". From Rfam's summary of the family: 7SK was discovered as an abundant small nuclear RNA in the mid-70s but a possible function has only recently been suggested. The record is from Rfam by way of RNAcentral. Lineage: Eukaryota; Metazoa; Chordata; Mammalia; Rodentia; Octodontidae.